CCGCACCUUGCUCCGAGGAGCCGCCAUAGCGAGAAAAGCGGAAACCGCUUUAGCUGGGGCAUGAUCGCUGGAGAACAAGCUAUGGGAUGCGACGUUCUCCCUCCAAUGUCAACCAAAAGUUGGACUUGACGCUUUGUUUAAUACGUUCCUUGCUGAUGAUAGUGAUGAUGCCUCUGCCACUCCUAACCACGAGGUGCCUCCCAAUGACGCUGUCGAGGCCGAGGUUCAGUCCCAACCCACUCAAGGUGAGGUGAUCGGGACAAGUGCUGGUCCGGGUCCCCAACCAGAGGUUGAAGUGGAGGAUGAAGAGGUGAUUGUUAUUCACAACCCGAAGAAGAGGAAACCGUCUUCUAGCCCCGAGAGAGUCCCCACAGUGAUGGAGAACUUCGAUGUCAAAAACUUCAUUGAUUCCCAGCUGCUCCCUGGCACGGAAGACUUCUUCCACGGUGGGAUCUCUCCUCUCAGGCCAGAUGGAUGUAUCACACCUUGCUCCGAAGAGCCGCCAUAGCGAGAAAAGCGGAAGCCGCUUUGGCU
Molecule: long non-coding RNA, 534 nt
Filed under: Arachis ipaensis
Lineage: Eukaryota; Viridiplantae; Streptophyta; Magnoliopsida; Fabales; Fabaceae
Description: long non-coding RNA (AIPA_LNC000189)
Source: RNAcentral